UUCAAUGAUUAACUCGAACCAUUGCAUUUGGCACCUGAUGUCCUUAAAGGAGGCCUGGGCAUAAUCAGCAUGACUGCAGGUAAACCACAGAGCAGUUUGAUGUAUUCUGGCUCAAUUCUCGUCACCAUUAAAUUGCAGAAACAGCGGCUCCUGUUUCCUUAAUUGCACCAUCGCUUCGGAAGGGAUACAGACAACCGGAAAGUCACACCUGCUCACCACUUUGGCCAAAUUUGGUUUUGUGUUUUUUCCAUGCUGAGGGAGGCCGUUCCAUCACAAGAACUCCCAUGGAAUCCGACAGAAACCUUUACGGAAUCCCCGGACAUUCUCCAGCGCACGCAGCGCAGGAAUUCCUCGCACGUUUUCUUUUAACGACCAAGGACUUAGAUUGUUUGGAUUGUGUGUAAUAACGCAGUGACAUGAGUGUGUGGUUAGGCCUGAAGGGCAGCACCUCCUGACAGCCACUCACUGUCAACACACCGCAGUCAAGCUGACAGCAGAAAAAAAAAGAAACCUUUUUGGACAAACCUGUCCUUAAUAAAAAACAUUUUUACUAACUGUUUAAAUAUCCAUCAGAAAAGCUACAAGCCAAAGAAAUCAUCAGGUUGUUGAUUUAAGGAAAACGAAGUUGUUGGUUUCAAUAAAACUCUUUUGCAGUAAUAUUAACAUUUUUGUUUUAUAAUAUUUAACGAAACAGAACCACAUUGUUUUAUGAGAAAUGGACGGAAAAAGAAAACAUGCUCAAUGUCAGCUAGCUCUAAAAACUAUAAAGAUUAGUGAAUUCAUUGCAGUAAUUAUUAAGGCCAUACUAAUAAUUUAAAAAGGGAGAUAAUAAAAGUGAUAGAAACCACCUUUUACAGUGUGCUGUUAUCAAGUAUGAUAAUAUUAUUAUGAGCAAACACAUAAAUAUUACAGCCGUUCCAUUAUAAUUAGACGAAAUUAAAAUGCAGAAGCAAUGAUGCACCACAGAUGCUGCUGGGGCAGCAUCUAAACCCCAAAUGAACACCCUUCCACCACUGUGCUUUCAGGCAUUCUGUGUUCUUUGACACGUUGAAUUGGCAGAGACUUUACUCCGAAUCUCGAUUGGGAUACAGUCAUGAAUUAGACUAAAUUUGGUCUUAAAUCAGAUACUUUUGGGUCACAACUGCACCCCCAGUCUGUAUUCAGCUGCACGAGGGCCUCUUAAGUUGCAGGGCGUUGUGCACAUAAAAACAAUUGAAUGGAAACUUAUCCAGUACAGCUAUUGUUCAUUGUGUCAGGAAUGGAACAAAAAUAAUGACUAGUCUUUCGCUUUGCAUUUUCUCUGUACACUGCAAAAACAGAAACUCAGGAAAAAAUUAAAAACUGUAGUUUGAGGAGUCUUAUUUUCUAUCUUGCGAGAAAAAUAAUAUUACUAAGAAACUUUUUCAAUAGUAAAAUAAUCUUAUUUCAAGAAAAUAUGUCUUUGUGACCAGAUUUUUUUCUUAAAAUAAGAAUCCUUGGCUCUUUCCCCAUUGGCCAAUUUUUUUGCUUAUUUAUAGAAACGCUUUUGAAAUGUAAAGAAAGUUUUUGACUUAUUUCUUGUUGUUGUUUUUGCAUUGUAGAUUUUGAGUGAAGUGAAGCGUUUCGGCAGCAGAUUCCUGAAACAAUAGAACCAAAAUCAAAUCAAAUUUCUUCUGGUAUAAGAAUGUGUUGGAACACAAACAUCGGCUGUAUUCCGAAUAAAAGUAAUGUUUUCAUGCAGCAAAGCUUUAAAUCUGCUCUGCUUGAGUCUUCAGUAAAACCAAAUCUGUGCUUUUGUGUCCUUUUCUGAAUGUACGUGCAACAUUUUGUGCAUUGUACACUCAUGAAUAUUAGCUUUUAACAGCAAAUGGCGGCUUUUGGUUUUGGGAAUACAAAAUUUAGGUUGAAAUGACUUCUCUAAACAAAGGCAACAAUUGAAAAUGUUGUUACUGAGCAUUCUUGACUAAAGGAUUCCUGCUUCUCAGUUCAUCGCUAAAAAAGUUUUGUUUUAAACUUUUAUUUAAGUUGAAGUUAAAACUUUGUCCUUUUUUGUGGUUUAACACCAGGUUGGGCAGAAUUUGCCAAAUGCAAGUGCUUUUGAAUGCAGUUCCUGCUGCACUUGAAGAAAAUGUUUAAUGAUUUUAUCCCUCAAAUUCAAUUGUUAUGUCAAACAUGGAGGUUUUAAGCCUAUCUUAUAAUCUUUGAUAUCAUAAUUAUAAUGUCACUUUAAUGUUCAUAAAUGAAGAGAAAAACCCCAAA
Oryzias latipes (Japanese medaka) is the source of this 2238-nucleotide non-coding RNA. Lineage: Eukaryota; Metazoa; Chordata; Actinopteri; Beloniformes; Adrianichthyidae. The record is from RefSeq and is a predicted model, not a curated record.